CCUACGGGUGGCAGCAGUGAGGAAUAUUGGUCAAUGGGCGGAAGCCUGAACCAGCCAAGUCGCGUGAGGGAAUAAGGCCCUACGGGUCGUAAACCUCUUUUGCCGGGGAGCAAGGGCCGGGACGAGUCCCGGUCCGGAGAGUACCCGGAGAAAAAGCAUCGGCUAACUCCGUGCCAGCAGACGCGGUAAUACGGAGGAUGCGAGCUUUAGCCGGAUUGAUGGGGUUUAAAGGGUGCUUAGGCGGGCUUUUAAGUCAGCGGUAAAAAUUCGGGGCCAAACCCCGCCCGGCCGUUGACACUGGGGGCCUUGAGUGGGCGAGAAGAAGGCGGAAUGCGUGGUGUAGCGGUGAAAUGCAUAGAUAUCACGCAGAACCCCGAUUGCGAAGGCAGCCUUCCGGCGCCCUACUGACGCUGAGGCACGAAAGUGCGGGGAUCGAACAGGAUUAGAUACCCGGGUAGUC
Molecule: ribosomal RNA, 460 nt
Filed under: uncultured bacterium
Lineage: Bacteria
Description: partial 16S ribosomal RNA
Rfam family: Bacterial small subunit ribosomal RNA
Source: RNAcentral